RNAcentral lists this ribosomal RNA (468 nucleotides) under uncultured bacterium. Its description in RNAcentral is "partial 16S ribosomal RNA". It matches the Rfam family "Bacterial small subunit ribosomal RNA", at positions 28 to 507 of the family's 1533-position model. The record is from RNAcentral.
GACGAACGCUGGCGGCGUGCUUAACACAUGCAAGUCGAACGGAAAGGCCCUGCUUUUGUGGGGUGCUCGAGUGGCGAAGGGGUGAGUAACACGUGAGUAACCUGCCCUUGACGUUGGGAUAACUUCAGGAAACUGGGGCUAAUACCGGCUAGGAGCGCCUGCUGCAGGGUGGGGGUCGGAAAGUUUCGGCGGAUGGGGAUGGACGCGGGGCUUAUCAGCUUGUUGGGGGGGUAGUGGCUUACCCAGGCUUUGACGGGUAGCCGGCCUGGGAGGGUGGCCGGCCACAUUGGGACUGAGAUACGGCGCAGAGUCCUACGGGAGGCAGCAGGGGGGAAUAUUGCACAAUGGGGCGAAGCCUGAUGCGGAAGCGCCGCGUGCGGGAUGCCGGCCUUCGGGUUGUGAACCGCUUUCGCCUGUGACGAAGCGUGAGUGACGGUAAUGGGUAAAGAAGCACCGGCUAACUACGUG